UAAUGAUAGUGAGAGCAAUUUUUGAGCAUACCCUUAAAUCUCUCCCAAGCCUAGUAGAGAUUCUCUCCUCCUUUCUGUAUGAAACUCAGAGUCUCCCUUCUUAAACG
Non-coding RNA from Capsicum annuum, 107 nucleotides. NCBI's taxonomy places the organism in Eukaryota, Viridiplantae, Streptophyta, Magnoliopsida, Solanales, Solanaceae. The record is from Rfam.